ACUGAACGCUGGCGGCAGGCCUAACACAUGCAAGUCGAGCGGAUGAAGGGAGCUUGCUCCUGGAUUCAGCGGGGGACGGGUGGGUAAUGCCUAGGAACAUGCCUGUUAGUGGGGGAUAAGGUCCGGAAACGGGGGCUAAUACGGUAUAGGCCCUGAGGGCGAAAGGGGGGGAUCUUGGGACCUUCCGCUAUCAGAUGAGCCUAGGUCGGAUUAGCUAGUUGGUGGGGUAAAGGCCUACCAAGGCGACGAUCCGUAACUGGUCUGAGAGGAUGAUCAGUCACACUGGAACUGAGACACGGUCCAGACUCCUACGGGAGGCAGCAGUGGGGAAUAUUGGACAAUGUGCGAAAGCCUGAUCCAGCCAUGCCGCGUGUGUGAAGAAGGUCUUCGGAUUGUAAAGCACUUUUAGUUGGGAAGAAGAGCAGUAAGUUAAUACCUUGCUGUUUUGACGUUACCAACAGAAUAAGCACCGGCUAACUUCGUG
RNAcentral lists this ribosomal RNA (484 nucleotides) under uncultured bacterium. Its description in RNAcentral is "partial 16S ribosomal RNA". It matches the Rfam family "Bacterial small subunit ribosomal RNA", at positions 30 to 507 of the family's 1533-position model. The record is from RNAcentral.